GACGAACGCUGGCGGCGUGCUUAACACAUGCAAGUCGAACGGAAAGGCCCUGCUUUUGUGGGGUGCUCGAGUGGCGAACGGGGGAGUAACACGUGAGUAACCUGCCCUUGACUUUGGGAUAACUUCAGGAAACUGGGGCUAAUACCGGAUAGGAGCUCCUGCUGCAUGGUGGGGGUGGGAAAGUUUCGGCGGUUGGGGAUGGACUCGCGGCUUAUCAGCUUGUUGGUGGGGUAGUGGCUUACCAAGGCUUUGACGGGUAGCCGGCCUGAGAGGGUGACCGGCCACCUUGGGACUGCGAUACGGCCCAGACUCCUACGGUAGGCAGCAGUGGGGAAUAUUGCACAAUGGGCGGAAGCCUGAUGCAGCAACGCCGCGUGCGGGAUGACGGCCUUCGGGUUGUGAACCGCUUUCGCCUGUGACGAAGCGUGAGUGACGGUAAUGGGUAAAGAAGCACCGGCUAACUACGUG
RNAcentral lists this ribosomal RNA (468 nucleotides) under uncultured bacterium. RNAcentral describes it as "partial 16S ribosomal RNA". It matches the Rfam family "Bacterial small subunit ribosomal RNA", at positions 28 to 507 of the family's 1533-position model. The record is from RNAcentral.